Molecule: long non-coding RNA, 1070 nt
Organism: Lolium perenne
Lineage: Eukaryota; Viridiplantae; Streptophyta; Magnoliopsida; Poales; Poaceae
Source: RefSeq, a predicted model, not a curated record
AUGUGAUCAUAUUUUACCAGGUGAAGUAGACGAUGGGGUACAUGUCUCUGCUGCUUUCUUCUGUGCGCGAGCCAUACGAAGUUUCAUCAGAUAUGCUGCUUUCUUCUCGUGGGAUAGACUUGCAUACCAACUGACUUUUUUUCGUACGACAUUAGGUUGAUCUGGUUGAGCUUCGUUAGUACCAUGACUUCCAGCCAUGCUCCCCACAUCUGGCAUCAUGAAUAUAUAUAGUUGGAUCUUGAACAUUAGAGAAGACAAAUGCAUAAUCUGUGAUUAGGAAAGUUGAACAAGACAGUAGGAUCUCAAAGUGUUCUUACAACGUAAAUUCUGUGUGGCAGAUGAUUCAGUUACUUCGUCAUUGACGCCAUCAGAUGCAACUUUAUUCUGGAGACCGUUUAUUCCUCCCAUCCAUAUGUACUCCAUGUUGAUGAUGAUCAAUGAUUGCUGAGGCACCAACUGCACCUAGUGAACCAGAGUGUGCAUGCUUCUUGGUCAUGGUCAAGAGUAGUCAUGUUUGAAUACUUCUUCUGUUGGCGGACUAUACGGCGCUUUUCGAGGAUGCAGGUGAAGUCGCGCCGGCGACUUGCUGACCCUGAGAGGGAGACACGAUCCCAGGUUACAGGUGUGGGGGUGGCGCAGUCGCAGAGAGAGGAAGAGAGCCUCGACAAGGUUUAAGCAGGGGUAGCCGGCGGUGAUGAGCCGUUGUGCAGGAGCCCCGGCGGUGAUGAGUGAUUGUGCAGGAUCCAGCCUGUGUGCUGCAGCACACACGCCGGAGAACGGCGGCUAUUUCGCGAAGGUCGACAGCCGCGGCAAGGCGUGAGCAGGGGUAGCCGGCCGUGUUGCCGGUGUGCCAGAGGCAACACGUGUGUAAGCAGCAGCGAUCGCGGGAGAAGGUUAGUUUUUUCCGAAGGUGGAGAUGGAGUUGUGAACUGCUGCCCACGCGUGGGAGAACGGGAGUUAUGUUUUUUUUUUUGCUGGAAUAAUCGAUAGCUUUUGUUGAGAGAUCGUUUGGUGGAGAUGUUUAGCGCUUAACAUUGGAGCCUCGUGGGGUGUUGGAUGUAUUGUUUGAA